Molecule: long non-coding RNA, 684 nt
Organism: Ipomoea nil (Japanese morning glory)
Lineage: Eukaryota; Viridiplantae; Streptophyta; Magnoliopsida; Solanales; Convolvulaceae
Exons: 4
Source: RefSeq, a predicted model, not a curated record
ACAUUUUGGGAAAAAAGACUAGCCAGCCAAAAACAAAACGCAGUUGUGAGUUGAAAACACAGAAAUCAGCCACAUCCAAAAUGCAACUCACUCUCACAUAUUCGUUCCACUUUCAAAUUUCAAUAAUCAACUUUGAGGGUUACUCAAUGGUUUCUGUUCUUCAGCAGGCCAAUAGCAGUAGUAGUCACACAACACAUCCUCCUGCAAAAAACUGCUAAGCCACAGCAGAAAAUGGAUUAUAUAUUCCUGAUGGAGCAAGCAGCAAUAUACAAACUAAGGCUCUGAAACAACCUUUAGCCUAUCAAAGGACAUUAGGAAACAGACUCAACCAACACUGACCAUGCAAAUUUGAAUGUGAGGAUAAGAUAGACAUGCCCAGAGAAAUGUUGCAAAUCUAUUUUGUAACCUUUUUGUGCAAGAAAAUCUGAUAUGUACAAGUACAUGAAUCAGGCAGGCAUGUUAACCACCAAUUAUGGACCCUCAGAUAAAAUUACAAAUCACCUACAAGCUGAUCUAAAUAAGCUAACUGCGCAUUCGUUUCCUCAGACCUCCAUCAUCUGUAUAACCCUCCUCAAUGCAACUGCUACUAGACUCGGACCGGCAUUUUGCAUGCACAAUGGGACCUAAUUGAGACCUAUCCAUCCCAGUUGUUGACCCAGUUGGUGCAUUCAUGUAGACAGCCCC